GUGCGCACCCAGGAUCCGAACCCGCGAACCCCAGGCCGCCGAAAAGUGGAAUGUGCGAAUUUAA
Non-coding RNA from Ceratotherium simum simum (southern white rhinoceros), 64 nucleotides. Lineage: Eukaryota; Metazoa; Chordata; Mammalia; Perissodactyla; Rhinocerotidae. The record is from RefSeq and is a predicted model, not a curated record.